GCCCACCUAGCUCAGUGGUAGAGCACCUCCUUGGUAAGGAGGAGGUCACGGGUUCAAGCCCCGUGGUGGGCUCCA
This 75-nucleotide transfer RNA is filed under the name Myxococcales bacterium. RNAcentral's name for it is "tRNA-Thr". It matches the Rfam family "tRNA". Rfam says of the family: Transfer RNA (tRNA) molecules are approximately 80 nucleotides in length. Their secondary structure includes four short double-helical elements and three loops (D, anti-codon, and T loops). Further hydrogen bonds mediate the characteristic L-shaped molecular structure. tRNAs have two regions of fundamental functional importance: the anti-codon, which is responsible for specific mRNA codon recognition, and the 3' end, to which the tRNAs corresponding amino acid is attached (by aminoacyl-tRNA synthetases). tRNAs cope with the degeneracy of the genetic code in two manners: having more than one tRNA (with a specific anti-codon) for a particular amino acid; and 'wobble' base-pairing, i.e. permitting non-standard base-pairing at the 3rd anti-codon position. Lineage: Bacteria; Pseudomonadati; Myxococcota; Myxococcia; Myxococcales. The record is from RNAcentral.